This 381-nucleotide ribosomal RNA is filed under the name uncultured bacterium. RNAcentral describes it as "bacterial SSU rRNA". It matches the Rfam family "Bacterial small subunit ribosomal RNA", at positions 524 to 903 of the family's 1533-position model. The record is from RNAcentral.
UACGGAGGGAGCUAGCGUUGUUCGGAAUUACUGGGCGUAAAGCGCGCGUAGGCGGUUUUUUAAGUCAGAGGUGAAAGCCCAGUGCUCAACACUGGAACUGCCUUUGAAACUGGAAAACUUGAAUCUUGGAGAGGUCAGUGGAAUUCCGAGUGUAGAGGUGAAAUUCGUAGAUAUUCGGAAGAACACCAGUGGCGAAGGCGACUGACUGGACAAGUAUUGACGCUGAGGUGCGAAAGCGUGGGGGAGCAAACAGGAUUAGAUACCCUGGUAGUCCACGCCGUAAACGAUGAUAACUAUCUGUUCGGGCUCAUAGAGCUUGAGUGGAGCAGCUAACGCAUUAAGUUAUCCGCCUGGGGAGUACGGUCGCAAGAUUAAAACUCA